This is a long non-coding RNA of Brassica napus (rape), 1805 nucleotides long. RefSeq lists it as uncharacterized. The transcript has 2 exons. Lineage: Eukaryota; Viridiplantae; Streptophyta; Magnoliopsida; Brassicales; Brassicaceae. The record is from RefSeq and is a predicted model, not a curated record.
UAUAAGUAUCCAUUAAAGUUAGAUUAAUACAUGCAUGUAUGUUUUGAAGGGCUGGACAAAAUAACUGAAUCCAAAAAUCAAACCGAAUUCGAUCUAAAAAAUAGUACCGAAUGCGAACUGAAGUUGGUCAAAUAUUCAAACUGGUUUAAAAUUUUGUUAUCUGAAAAAAUCGAAACGAACCCUAUCCGAAUCCAUAUACUUCGGAUAUCUGAGCCAAAAUAUAUACUUAACUGUAUUGAUUAUUUUAAAUCUAAUAUCCAAUAUAUAUAUGAAAUUUAUACAAGAAUCCAAAAAUGAAUAUAUAAAAUAGCUGAAUAUUAUUCAAAACACCAAUAACUACUCAAAGUACCUAUUAAUUUUCUCCAUUUAAAUAUUAAAUCAAACCAAUUUUUAUGUUAGCAAGGUAUUUAGACACAUAUUAUUCAAAUUCAUAUGUUAUAUAUUAUUUUUGUGUUUGAACUUUGAGAAUUUUUAUGUAUAUAUAGAUUUAUAAGAAAUUAAAAUAAUUUACAUGGGUAUCUGAACCUGAACAUCCGGUUUUGAUACUAUUUAAACCCAAAGCCAACGGUCCAACAUGGUAAUAACUUGACACAUAACAAGUCCACUAGGUAGUAACACAUAACAUAUCCACCAGUCACACCUCCUGAGUUAUUGGAUGUUCAGGAGGAGUUGAAGAUUCCACCAGAAUGGAAAGUUUUUGUUGAUGCAUUAUGCCAAAAGAAGAAGGAUGUCACUAGCCGUCUGGAAAACUGAUAUUCUCGUGACUCUGUUUCCAUUUGCUUUUGCCGUAAAUAUAGCUCACAACCAGAGGUCCUUAGCUCAAAUGGAAAAGAUCCUGACCAUUAUGUCAGUCCUGGUUCAAGUGACCGGCUGACCGCUAGACCAAACUAAUAUUACAUAUUGUAAUUUCGGGGGAUUAUGAGCUUCGGCCCAAACCUCUUGGUUUAAAAAAUGAAAAAGCUCGCUGUUGGUUAUUGUUUGGCUCAAACCUUUCAGGAGAAAUCCGAUUCCGCGGGCUCUGAUGUACAAGAUAGACUAAUAUAUUCCUGAUGAUUUUUUUUGUAGAUUUGCUCCAUGUUUUCAAGGUUGCUUCUCUCAUUUUUAUACCUCCUUAAAAAUUGGCUUAAGUUUUGAGAACUAAGACAGCGUUCUUCUGUGAUCCAUAGGACACAGAUGUUGGUAACAUAAUCAAGCCCUGCACCUGGAUGUCAUGGACGACAGCAUUCACAUGGAACCAUACGCAGAUGGUGCUGGUCAACACAAUUCGUGGCGUCCCAGUCAUAUUCUUGACUUCAGCGAUCUAUCCAUAGGUAUGCUAUCUUAAGUUUAUAAUCCAAAUGGGAUCAAACUGCAAAUUUGAAAAGUUUUCUGAGAGAAUGAAGAAAUUUGUAGGAGAUUCAAUCUACGACUUGAUAACCGAUAUACUUGGACGUGUUUAGAGGAGACACUGAACUUUUCAAGAAGCUUCUAGAAAGUUACGGCCUUCCUUUACUCAGAAGUAAGAAUGGAACAGUAGACAGUACGAGGAAGAAAGUAUUGUCUCCUUCCUACCGCACAAUGUGUUAUUGUAUAUUACAUGAAGAGAAUGUGUUGGGUGCAAUGUUCAGUAUUUGGGUUGAACUUCGCACAGCUGAAUCAUGGGAACAGAUUGAGCUCACUGUUUGGAGUCUUCUUAACUCCUACUGAUGUUCUUACAUUGAAGAAUUCUUACUUUACUGUUUUAUAAUUGAUAGAAAACACAGUUUAUUACAUACUUAUGUGAUUAAUUAUUUAAUUAAUUAUGAGACAACUAAUUUUUUUUAGAA